This 514-nucleotide ribosomal RNA is filed under the name Paguristes doederleini. RNAcentral's name for it is "partial 16S ribosomal RNA". It matches the Rfam family "Bacterial large subunit ribosomal RNA", at positions 1829 to 2597 of the family's 2925-position model. The record is from RNAcentral. Lineage: Eukaryota; Metazoa; Arthropoda; Malacostraca; Decapoda; Diogenidae.
AUCUGCUUGAAGAUGUAUGGAGUCUGACCUGCCCACUGAAUAUUUUAAAGGGCCGCGGUAUUCUGACCGUGCGAAGGUAGCAUAAUCAUUAGUCUUUUAAUGGGAGGCUUGUAUGAAUGGUUGGACGAGAAAUAAGCUGUUUUUUAUUUAAAUUUUAAAUUUAACUUUUAAGUGAAAAGGCUUAAAUUUUACAAGAAGACGAUAAGACCCUAUAAAUCUUUACACUAUCUCAGGGGUCAGAGGAAGUUGGGUGUAAACCCCUAUUUACCUUUGAGGGUGUUUUGUUGGGGCGACAUAAAUAGCUAAUAAUCUGUUUAAAGAAAUUACAAUAUAUAUUUGAAUUAGAGUUUAAGAUCCUUAUUAUAGAUUGAAAGAUUAAGUUACUUUAGGGAUAACAGCGUUAUUUUGCUUGAGAGUUCAUAUCGAAAGCAAAGUUUGCGACCUCGAUGUUGAAUUAAGAGAUCUUUACGGCGCAGCAGCUGUAAGAGAAAGUCUGUUCGACUUUUAAAUUUUU